AAAUUGAAGAGUUUGAUCAUGGCUCAGAUUGAACGCUGGCGGCAGGCCUAACACAUGCAAGUCGAACGGUAACAGGAAGAAGCUUGCUUCUUUGCUGACGAGUGGCGGACGGGUGAGUAAUGUCUGGGAAACUGCCUGAUGGAGGGGGAUAACUACUGGAAACGGUAGCUAAUACCGCAUAACGUCGCAAGACCAAAGAGGGGGACCUUCAGGCCUCUUGCCAUCGGAUGUGCCCAGAUGGGAUUAGCUAGUAGGUGGGGUAACGGCUCACC
This 272-nucleotide ribosomal RNA is filed under the name Escherichia coli. RNAcentral describes it as "partial 16S ribosomal RNA". It matches the Rfam family "Bacterial small subunit ribosomal RNA", at positions 1 to 269 of the family's 1533-position model. Lineage: Bacteria; Pseudomonadati; Pseudomonadota; Gammaproteobacteria; Enterobacterales; Enterobacteriaceae. The record is from RNAcentral.